RNAcentral lists this ribosomal RNA (292 nucleotides) under uncultured bacterium. RNAcentral's name for it is "partial 16S ribosomal RNA". The record is from RNAcentral.
GGACUACUAGGGUAUCUAAUCCCGUUCGCUCCCCCAGCUUUCGCGUCUCAGCGUCAGGAGCAGGCCAGGAAGCCGCCUUCGCCACUGGCAUUCCUCCCGAUAUCUACGCAUUUCACCGCUACACCGGGAAUUCUACUUCCCUCUCCUGCCCUCUAGCCCGACAGUAUCCCGCGGCCUCCUACAGUUGAGCCGUAGGCUUUCACACGGGACUUACCAGGCCGCCUGCACGCGCUUUACGCCCAGUAAUUCCGGACAACGCUAGCCCCCUACGUCUUACCGCGGCGGCUGGCAC